RNAcentral lists this unclassified non-coding RNA (211 nucleotides) under Hevea brasiliensis (rubber tree). Lineage: Eukaryota; Viridiplantae; Streptophyta; Magnoliopsida; Malpighiales; Euphorbiaceae. The record is from RNAcentral.
CUAGCUUCCUAUUAUGUGCCUAUCUCAAAUGAAUUUUAGUAUCAAUUUUUUGCAAUUCGACACUGCAAAUGUUCAAGUAUUAUAUGCCGUGGAUUAUUUUCUUCAUUUACCGUUUUGGAAUUGUGGUUCCCAAACUAGGGUAAUCAUGCUACAAAUCUUUUUGUUCUCUGACUGAUUUAAAUUAUAUCACCUGCAGAGCAAUCGUUUGAAG